Molecule: ribosomal RNA, 790 nt
Filed under: uncultured SAR324 cluster bacterium
Lineage: Bacteria; Deltaproteobacteria
Description: SSU rRNA
Rfam family: Bacterial small subunit ribosomal RNA
Source: RNAcentral
CCUAACACAUGCAAGUNGAACGAGAAAGUUCCUUCGGGAGCAAUUAAAGUGGCGCACGGGUGAGUAACGCGUAGACAAUCUGCCCUUCAGUCUGGGACAACUUUUCGAAAGGAGAGCUAAUACCGGAUAACAAUGCAUGACACAAGUUGUAUAUUUGAAAGCUUUAUGUGCUGAAGGAGGGGUCUGCGUCCCAUUAGCUAGUUGGUAAGGUAAAGGCUUACCAAGGCAACGAUGGGUAGCGGGUUUGAGAGGACGAUCCGCCACACUGGAACUGAGACACGGUCCAGACUCCUACGGGAGGCAGCAGUGGGGAAUAUUGCACAAUGGAGGCAACUCUGAUGCAGCAAUGUCGCGUGAGUGAAGAAGGCCCUUGGGUCGUAAAGCUCUUUUAUGGGGGAAGAUGAUGACGGUACCCCAAGAAUAAGCACCGGCUAACUAUGUGCCAGCAGCCGCGGUAAUACAUAGGGUGCGAGCGUUGUUCGGAAUUACUGGGCGUAAAGGGCGCGCAGGCGGAAUAGUAAGUCGGAGGUGAAAGCCCGGGGCUCAACCCCGGAGGGUCUUUCGAAACUACUAAUCUAGAGAGGGUCAGGGGCCGGCAGAAUUCCUGGUGUAGAGGUGAAAUUCGUAGAUAUCAGGAGGAAUACCGGUGGCGAAGGCGGCCGGCUGGGGCCACUCUGACGCUGAGGCGCGAAAGCGUGGGGAGCAAACAGGAUUAGAUACCCUGGUAGUCCACGCCGUAAACGAUGAGCACUGGACGUCCGGAGGGUUCGACCCUUCUGGGUNUCUCAGC